ACCAACUCCUCAGCUAGAACACAGUAAGGGCUCAACUCCUUGUGCAAUGGCCGCGAACAGUUCAAGGGUAAACUUUUUAAAUAAAAAACAAAAAAUACAAUGAAUGUACAGGAACCAUUUAAUGUUCUGGAAAUGUUCAUAGAAUUUCACUAGUUUGUACAAUUAAAGUUAUUUAAAAAUAAAACUACCUUAACAUGGAUCACAAUGAAUAAAUAACCCAACUUCAGCUGGUAAGAUAUGUAAUCUGAAAGUACUCUCUCUGGGAAACCGUCAUAAACAUGCCGUUCUGGAAUGCAUGUGGAACCUAGCAACCACUUUUAAAGUUGCAUUUGCCCUUAUCUCUCUCUCUCUCUCUACUUUCCCACUCAAGACCUAAAUAUCUUUAAGAAUCAGGUUAUUUAGUCCAGCUCUUUCCCACUGACCUCCACUGUUAACUACAUGAAUCACCCAGUUUUUUGCUUUUUAAAGAAAAAAGGAAGAAAACCACGACACACCGGAAUUUUGCUUUAAAAAAUUUCCAAGAAGGCUAGAAAAGGUAUGUUUGGGACCCAUAGGCAAUUUCCUUCCACUAAGAUAAAAAGGGUUUUGGUUUUUUUUUUUUUUUUUUUUUUU
Peromyscus leucopus (white-footed mouse) is the source of this 612-nucleotide long non-coding RNA. RefSeq lists it as uncharacterized. The record is from RefSeq and is a predicted model, not a curated record. The transcript is spliced from 2 exons. NCBI's taxonomy places the organism in Eukaryota, Metazoa, Chordata, Mammalia, Rodentia, Cricetidae.